Molecule: ribosomal RNA, 212 nt
Filed under: Escherichia coli
Lineage: Bacteria; Pseudomonadati; Pseudomonadota; Gammaproteobacteria; Enterobacterales; Enterobacteriaceae
Description: partial 16S ribosomal RNA
Rfam family: Bacterial small subunit ribosomal RNA
Source: RNAcentral
AAAUUGAAGAGUUUGAUCAUGGCUCAGAUUGAACGCUGGCGGCAGGCCUAACACAUGCAAGUCGAACGGUAACAGGAAGAAGCUUGCUUCUUUGCUGACGAGUGGCGGACGGGUGAGUAAUGUCUGGGAAACUGCCUGAUGGAGGGGGAUAACUACUGGAAACGGUAGCUAAUACCGCAUAACGUCGCAAGACCAAAGAGGGGGAGCUUCGG